UAAUGUAUAUAAAAACAGUAAUGUGAACAGUUAUAUUGCCAAAGCAGAUGGAUAUAUCUCUCCCCCAAUGGUUCUUCUUCCUGAAUCGUGCUUUCCGUCUAUCUCUCCCUCUCUCCCCCCAUUUCCCUCUAUCUGCCUCUCUUUGUGACUCCCUCUCUGAACUCCCCCCCCCUGUCCCAACCCCCUCUUUCCUUUCCUCCCUCCCUCUUCCUGUCUAAAUCUCUCUUUCUCACUUGUUUCCCAACUACUCAUCUCCAUUCAUUUCUUAUCAUAUCUUAUCUUCCUCUCCCCCCCUCCAUCUCACCACCUCUCUUCCUCUCUCCAUUCCUCUCACCUCUCUUUGUCUCUCCCUGCCUCAUUCUCUCUACAUCUCUCUUCUCCAUGUGUCUCCAUCUCGCUCUCCUCUACCUCUCUUGUAUUCUAUCUCUCCUCCCUCCUCCACCUCUCCCUCCCUCUAUGUAUUCCUCUCACUCUACGACUCUCCUCCUCUCUCCAUCUCUGUCUCAUGUGGGGUAGAUCAGAGAUUCUGGGAUCCCUGGGGCCGGUCUAGGGGUGUUUUACUGUGGAGACGGUGGCCUUCCCAUUGGAACACACUUUGGACCCUACGAAGGACACAGGACCGAUGAAGAGGGAGCCCUGGAGAGUGGAUACUCCUGGGAGAUCUACAAGAGCAGACACAAUGAUUACAUUGAUGCAAAGAGAGAGACACUUUCUAACUGGAUGAGGUACGUCAAUUGUGCUCGUAAUGAAGAGGAACAGAACCUAAUAGCGUUUCAGCACAAAGGAGG
Molecule: long non-coding RNA, 788 nt
Organism: Gadus chalcogrammus (walleye pollock)
Lineage: Eukaryota; Metazoa; Chordata; Actinopteri; Gadiformes; Gadidae
Exons: 3
Source: RefSeq, a predicted model, not a curated record